Molecule: ribosomal RNA, 439 nt
Filed under: uncultured bacterium
Lineage: Bacteria
Description: partial 16S ribosomal RNA
Rfam family: Bacterial small subunit ribosomal RNA
Source: RNAcentral
CCUACGGGUGGCUGCAGUGGGGAAUAUUGCACAAUGGGCGAAAGCCUGAUGCAGCAACGCCGCGUGAGCGAUGAAGGCCUUCGGGUCGUAAAGCACUGUCCUCAAGGAAGAUAAUGACGGUAUUUGAGGAGGAAGCCCCGGCUAACUACGUGCCAGCAGCCACGGUAAUACGUAGGGGGCGAGCGUUAUCCGGAAUUACUGGGCGAAAAGGGUGCGUGGGUGGUUUCUUAAGUCAGAGGUGAAAGGCUACGGCUCAACCGUGAUAAGCCUUUGAAACUGGGAAACUUGAGUGCAGGAGAGGGGAGUGGAAUUCCUGGUGUAGCGGUGAAAUGCGUAGAGAUUAGGAGGAACACCAGUGGCGAAGGCGGCUCUCUGGACUGUAACUGACACUGAGGCGCGAAAGCGUGGGGAGCAAACAGGAUUAGAUACCCCGGUAGUC